AGAGUUUGAUCCUGGCUCAGAACGAACGCUGGCGGCGUGCCUAACACAUGCAAGUCGAACGGGAUUGAGGGGCUUGCUCCUCAAUUUAGUGGCGCACGGGUGAGUAACGCGUAGAUAAUCUGCCUGACGAUCUGGGAUAACACUUCGAAAGGGGUGCUAAUACCGGAUAAGCCCACGGGGACUUUGGUCUUUGCGGGAAAAGGGGGGGACCUUUUGGCCUUCUGUCGUCAGAUGAGUCUGCGUACCAUUAGCUAGUUGGUAGGGUAAAGGCCUACCAAGGCUACGAUGGUUAGCUGGUCUGAGAGGAUGAUCAGCCACACUGGAACUGAGACACGGUCCAGACUCCUACGGGAGGCAGCAGUGGGGAAUUUUGCGCAAUGGACGAAAGUCUGACGCAGCAACGCCGCGUGGGUGAUGAAGGUCUUCGGAUUGUAAAACCCUGUCGUCAGGGACGAAGGUUGGGAUCCUAAUACGAUUUCAGCUUGACGGUACCUGGAGAGGAAGCCCCGGCUAACUCUGUGCCAGCAGCCGCGGUAAUACGGGGGGUGCAAGCGUUGUUCGGAUUUAUUGGGCGUAAAGCGCGUGUAGGCGGUUUUAUAAGUCUGAUGUGAAAGCCCUGGGCUCAACCCGGGAAGUGCAUUGGAUACUGUAAGACUUGAAUACGGGAGAGGGCAGUGGAAUUCCUAGUGUAGGAGUGAAAUCCGUAGAUAUUAGGAGGAACACCGGUGGCGAAGGCGGCUGCCUGGACCGAUAUUGACGCUGAGACGCGAAAGCGUGGGUAGCAAACAGGAUUAGAUACCCUGGUAGUCC
RNAcentral lists this ribosomal RNA (810 nucleotides) under uncultured bacterium. RNAcentral's name for it is "bacterial SSU rRNA". It matches the Rfam family "Bacterial small subunit ribosomal RNA", at positions 8 to 796 of the family's 1533-position model. The record is from RNAcentral.